This 478-nucleotide ribosomal RNA is filed under the name uncultured bacterium. RNAcentral describes it as "bacterial SSU rRNA". It matches the Rfam family "Bacterial small subunit ribosomal RNA", at positions 151 to 624 of the family's 1533-position model. The record is from RNAcentral.
UCGAGAGGUGUGCUAAUACCGCAUAAUCUCUGAGGAGAAAAGCAGGGGCUCGCAAGACCUUGCGCUUUUGGAGCGGCCGAUGUCUGAUUAGCUAGUUGGUAAGGUAAUGGCUUACCAAGGCGACGAUCAGUAGAUGGUCUGAGAGGACGGCCAGCCACACUGGGACUGAGACACGGCCCAGACUCCUACGGGAGGCAGCAGUGGGGAAUUUUGGACAAUGGGCGCAAGCCUGAUCCAGCAAUGCCGCGUGAGUGAAGAAGGCCUUCGGGUUGUAAAGCUCUUUCAGUCGAGAAGAAAAGGUUGUGACUAAUAAUCAUAACUCAUGACGGUAUCGACAGAAGAAGCACCGGCUAACUACGUGCCAGCAGCUGCGGUAAUACGUAGGGUGCGAGCGUUAAUCGGAAUUACUGGGCGUAAAGGGUGCGCAGGCGGUGCGGUAAGUCAGAUGUGAAAUCCCCGGGCUUAACCUGGGAACUGC